UCGACCGUGUUGUUAAGAAGCACAACAAAAGACGAGUGGAUAUAAGUGAAUUCAGUCAGAUUUGAAAACGUUAUCAUUAUUGGCGUGGUUGAACUGAUUUAUACAGAAGAACUAAUCAGCAGGUUGAGUGAAGUACAGGGUAAGUGUGUGCAGCUGAUAUUCUCGAGAGUUGUAAAGUCUUGUUGUCCUGGACAGACCUUAGCAUUAGCUUUGCUACAUCCUCAUAGCUUGAAUACGUCACGCUAAGUAUGUUGACAGAAUGGCGAUAUAGUUAGCAGAUUAGCUCUCCAGUAACAGAUUUCUCCGGGUUUUCCGCUCGCUUACAUCUAUUUUAUUCCUCUCUCUCCAGAGACAGUGUUUAGUCAAGUAGUUUAUUAUUAUAAAAUUAAGUUCUUAAACCUUUUUAGUUAGCUAUCAUUCACGCAGUGGAGCAGCAAAUGGCUUCCAGCUACCUCACUAAAUAAUACUUCAAUCUAGAUUUGGUUUGCAGGGACAGUAUAACUUUUAUUAACGGAUCUUUUGUCCACUUCGAGGGUUAAAAUUAAUUAUUGUCGGUUUCAGAGAUUCAUAUUUAAGCGUUAAUACAGUCCUUCAGUGAACAGGUGCACAGCUGCUGUCUGUAAUGCUGUAUAAUAUGAAAUGAAUAUAAUUGGUUCGUUGAGUUACUUUGGCUUUAAUACAUUAAUACGUUUAUAUUUCAUAAUUGGUCCCUCAGAGCGUUUUGUACCUGUACGUUAAUAUAACAGUGUAUUUAUUGGGGGGUGCAUGGCUCUGAAGAAUUUCUUACUUUGUACUAUUCCAGGAAAAUGAUUAAAACGUUUUUGAUGACUCAUCCUGUACUACGCAUGUGUCCGUCCAAUUAAAUAUUCCCUACAAGGUAGACGCCCCGCCCCCAGGAAGGGCCUUAUGCGCCAUUGCUCUACAGUAGCAGCUCGUUAGCAGCGAACAUGGUUUGUCGGGUCGAAAAAUUGGUUCAGUUAUUUCAUGGGAAUUUUAAAUGACUGGAUUGUGACUGACAGCAUGCCUUUUGUGUAUCUUAAUUCACCUAAGUAAUAAUAUUUCACUAUAAUGUUAAUUGUGCAACCCCCACCCACCCCACCC
Molecule: long non-coding RNA, 1101 nt
Organism: Ictalurus punctatus (channel catfish)
Lineage: Eukaryota; Metazoa; Chordata; Actinopteri; Siluriformes; Ictaluridae
Source: Ensembl